This 201-nucleotide unclassified non-coding RNA is filed under the name uncultured Cortinarius. RNAcentral's name for it is "sequence contains ITS2". Lineage: Eukaryota; Fungi; Basidiomycota; Agaricomycetes; Agaricales; Cortinariaceae. The record is from RNAcentral.
AUAUAUCAACCUCUUCAGCUUUUGCUUGUUGAGUGUUGGAUGUGGGAGUCUUUUUGUUGGUCUUUUUAAAAGAGAUCAGCUCUCCUAAAAUGUAUUAGCAGAACAAUUUGUUGACCGUUCAUUAGUGUGAUAAUUAUCUACGCUAUUGAUGUAAGGCAGUUCAGCUUCUAACAGUUCAUUGACUUGAACAAUUUUUCAUUA